GCCGAUAUAGCUCAGUGGUAGAGCACUUCCAUGGUAAGGAAGGGGUCGUCGGUUCAAUCCCGACUAUCGGCU
This 72-nucleotide transfer RNA is filed under the name Bacteroidota bacterium. Its description in RNAcentral is "Bacteroidetes bacterium (marine metagenome) tRNA-Thr". It matches the Rfam family "tRNA". Rfam says of the family: Transfer RNA (tRNA) molecules are approximately 80 nucleotides in length. Their secondary structure includes four short double-helical elements and three loops (D, anti-codon, and T loops). RNAcentral also lists the same sequence under 3 other names. The record is from RNAcentral. Lineage: Bacteria; Pseudomonadati; Bacteroidota.